Molecule: ribosomal RNA, 1372 nt
Filed under: uncultured bacterium
Lineage: Bacteria
Description: bacterial SSU rRNA
Rfam family: Bacterial small subunit ribosomal RNA
Source: RNAcentral
GAUAAACGCUGGCGGCGUGCCUAAUACAUGCAAGUCGAGCGAACGGACGAGAAGCUUGCUUCUCUGAUGUUAGCGGCGGACGGGUGAGUAACACGUGGAUAACCUACCUAUAAGACUGGGAUAACUUCGGGAAACCGGAGCUAAUACCGGAUAAUAUUUUGAACCGCAUGGUUCAAAAGUGAAAGACGGUCUUGCUGUCACUUAUAGAUGGAUCCGCGCUGCAUUAGCUAGUUGGUAAGGUAACGGCUUACCAAGGCAACGAUGCAUAGCCGACCUGAGAGGGUGAUCGGCCACACUGGAACUGAGACACGGUCCAGACUCCUACGGGAGGCAGCAGUAGGGAAUCUUCCGCAAUGGGCGAAAGCCUGACGGAGCAACGCCGCGUGAGUGAUGAAGGUCUUCGGAUCGUAAAACUCUGUUAUUAGGGAAGAACAUAUGUGUAAGUAACUGUGCACAUCUUGACNGUACCUAAUCAGAAAGCCACGGCUAACUACGUGCCAGCAGCCGCGGGUAUACGUAGGUGGCAAGCGUUAUCCGGAAUUAUUGGGCGUAAAGCGCGCGUAGGCGGUUUUUUAAGUCUGAUGUGAAAGCCUACGGCUCACCCGUGGAGGGUCAUUGGAAACUGGAAAACUUGAGUGCAGAAGAGGAAAGUGGAAUUCCAUGUGUAGCGGUGAAAUGCGCAGAGAUAUGGAGGAACACCAGUGGCGAAGGCGACUUUCUGGUCUGUAACUGACGCUGAUGUGCGAAAGCGUGGGGAUCAAACAGGAUUAGAUACCCUGGUAGUCCACGCCGUAAACGAUGAGUGCUAAGUGUUAGGGGGUUUCCGCCCCUUAGUGCUGCAGCUAACGCAUUAAGCACUCCGCCUGGGGAGUACGACCGCAAGGUUGAAACUCAAAGGAAUUGACGGGGACCCGCACAAGCGGUGGAGCAUGUGGUUUAAUUCGAAGCAACGCGAAGAACCUUACCAAAUCUUGACAUCCUUUGACAACUCUAGAGAUAGAGCCUUCCCCUUCGGGGGACAAAGUGACAGGUGGUGCAUGGUUGUCGUCAGCUCGUGUCGUGAGAUGUUGGGUUAAGUCCCGCAACGAGCGCAACCCUUAAGCUUAGUUGCCAUCAUUAAGUUGGGCACUCUAAGUUGACUGCCGGUGACAAACCGGAGGAAGGUGGGGAUGACGUCAAAUCAUCAUGCCCCUUAUGAUUUGGGCUACACACGUGCUACAAUGGACAAUACAAAGGGCAGCGAAACCGCGAGGUCAAGCAAAUCCCAUAAAGUUGUUCUCAGUUCGGAUUGUAGUCUGCAACUCGACUACAUGAAGCUGGAAUCGCUAGUAAUCGUAGAUCAGCAUGCUACGGUGAAUACGUUCCCGGGUCU